RNAcentral lists this non-coding RNA (791 nucleotides) under Pongo abelii (Sumatran orangutan). The record is from RNAcentral. Lineage: Eukaryota; Metazoa; Chordata; Mammalia; Primates; Hominidae.
AGCUGUGGGAACAUUCCUACAAAGCUGAUUCUCUUCGGAUUCUGCUGGAAUCCUGAGUCUCUCUCAAACUGGAAUUAUCUUAACAAUUCUUUUGCUUGAGGUUUCCUGGACGGCAUAUGUGGAUAAUGGAGCAGGUGAUGUUUAGCCUGGAGAACUGAAGGCUCAGGAAGAACGGGGUCUUCAAACACCUGAAGGACUGUCUCAUGAAAAAGAGAUGCACAAGACAGGAGAAUUGAGCAGAGAGAUGUUUAACUCAAAUUGAAGAACAAAGACAGCAUUGAAUCACCACCUAUCAAGGGUCUUACUUGAAUAGACUUUGGUUUGGAUGAGAGGCUAUAUAAGAAAACCUCAAAAAUCUCUUCCAAUUCUAAGGUUUCAUGAUGCCAGGCAUUUGGAGAAUUAGGAAAAAUAAUCACUUAAAAAAAAAUUAUUUAGUGCCAAGCUUCCUAAAACAUCUUUAAAAUGUCCAAUAUCCAUGAAUCAUAGGGUAUUAUCCAUUUUAUUUGAAAACCAUGGAACUCUACUACUGAACUUCAUUCUAGGUUGUUUAAAACAAAGUACAAUGCAAAACUGUCUAUUUUUCUUUCAUAAGAACCAUUUUCUAGAUGGGCAUAGAUUCUUUGGGGGAAUUCUUAUCAUGCAGAUAUUUUACUUCAAAAUCUAAACUUGUACCACUUUACUGGAAUGAAAUAUUAAUGUUAUUAAUUUAAACAUCAUAACAUUUUUUAAAAAUAAGGUGUUAAAAUAAUAUUUAUUCAUCAAUCCUGUACCACUACAAUAUUUUAGAUCAG